UCCCGCAAGGGUAAAGAUUUAUCGCUUCAAGAAGGGCCGAUGCACUAUCAGCUAGUUGGUGAGGUAAUGGCUCACCAAGGCUAUGACGGUUAGGAGGCUCGAGAGGGUAUUCUCCCACAUUGGCACUGAGACACUGGCCAAACUCCUACGGGAGGCUGCAGUCGAGAAUCUUCGUCAAUGCACGCAAGUGUGAACGAGCGACGCCGCGUGAGCGAUGACGCCCUUCGGGGUGUAAAGCUCUUUUAUUGGGGACAAACUUUGAUGGUACCCAGUGAAUAAGAGGUUGCUAACUCUGUGCCAGCAGCAGCGGUAAUACAGAGACCUCAAGCGUUAUCCGGAUUUAUUGGGCGUAAAGAGUCUGUAGGUUGAAUAAAUAGUCAGAUGUCAAAUUUUAGGGCUUAACCUUAAAACUGCAUCUGAAACGUUUGUUCUAGAGGACGGUAGGGGCAAGUAGAACUUAUAGUGUAGCAGUAAAAUGCGUUGAUAUUAUAAGGAAUACCAAAAGCGAAGGCAUCUUGCUG
This 521-nucleotide ribosomal RNA is filed under the name uncultured bacterium. RNAcentral's name for it is "bacterial SSU rRNA". It matches the Rfam family "Bacterial small subunit ribosomal RNA", at positions 191 to 731 of the family's 1533-position model. The record is from RNAcentral.